RNAcentral lists this ribosomal RNA (1250 nucleotides) under uncultured Gammaproteobacteria bacterium. Its description in RNAcentral is "bacterial SSU rRNA". It matches the Rfam family "Bacterial small subunit ribosomal RNA", at positions 1 to 1252 of the family's 1533-position model. The record is from RNAcentral. Lineage: Bacteria; Pseudomonadati; Pseudomonadota; Gammaproteobacteria.
UGAGUUUGAUCCUGGCUCAGAUUGAACGCUGGCGGCAGGCUUAACACAUGCAAGUCGAACGGUAACAUGAGUGCUUGCACUUGAUGACGAGUGGCGGACGGGUGAGUAAUGUAUGGGGAUCUGCCGAAUGGAGGGGGACAACAGUUGGAAACGACUGCUAAUCCUGCAUAAUGUUGAGAAACCAAAGCAUGGGACCUUCGGGCCAUGCGCCAUUUGAUGAACCCAUAUGGGAUUAGCUAGUUGGUAGGGUAAAGGCCUACCAAGGCGACGAUCUCUAGCUGGUCUGAGAGGAUGACCAGCCACACUGGAACUGAGACACGGUCCAGACUCCUACGGGAGGCAGCAGUGGGGAAUAUUGCACAAUGGGGGAAACCCUGAUGCAGCCAUGCCGCGUGUAUGAAGAAGGCCUUCGGGUUGUAAAGUACUUUCGGUAAUGAGGAAGGUGGUGUAUCUAAUAGGUGCAUCAAUUGACGUUAAUUACAGAAGAAGCACCGGCUAACUCCGUGCCAGCAGCCGCGGUAAUACGGAGGGUGCGAGCGUUAAUCGGAAUGACUGGGCGUAAAGGGCAUGUAGGCGGAUAAUUAAGUUAGGUGUGAAAGCCCUGGGCUCAACCUAGGAAUUGCACUUAAAACUGGUUAACUAGAGUAUUGUAGAGGAAGGUAGAAUUCCACGUGUAGCGGUGAAAUGCGUAGAGAUGUGGAGGAAUACCGGUGGCGAAGGCGGCCUUCUGGACAGAUACUGACGCUGAGAUGCGAAAGCGUGGGGAGCAAACAGGAUUAGAUACCCUGGUAGUCCACGCUGUAAACGAUGUCGAUUUGGAGUUUGUUGCCUAGAGUGAUGGGCUCCGAAGCUAACGCGAUAAAUCGACCGCCUGGGGAGUACGGCCGCAAGGUUAAAACUCAAAUGAAUUGACGGGGGCCCGCACGAGCGGUGGAGCAUGUGGUUUAAUUCGAUGCAACGCGAAGAACCUUACCUGGUCUUGACAUCCACAGAAUCUUUCAGAGAUGAGGGAGUGCCUUCGGGAACUGUGAGACAGGUGCUGCAUGGCUGUCGUCAGCUCGUGUUGUGAAAUGUUGGGUUAAGUCCCGCAACGAGCGCAACCCUUAUCCUUUGUUGCCAGCGAUUAGGUCGGGAACUCAAAGGAGACUGCCGUUGAUAAAACGGAGGAAGGUGGGGACGACGUCAAGUCAUCAUGGCCCUUACGACCAGGGCUACACACGUGCUACAAUGGCGUAUACAAAGGGAGGCGA